RNAcentral lists this long non-coding RNA (639 nucleotides) under Lathyrus oleraceus (garden pea). RNAcentral describes it as "Pisum sativum (pea) long non-coding RNA (PSAT_LNC021384)". The record is from RNAcentral. Lineage: Eukaryota; Viridiplantae; Streptophyta; Magnoliopsida; Fabales; Fabaceae.
AAUCAUUUCACCUUUGCACACUUGUAUAAACAUAAAGCUCUCAAUUCAAUUUCAAGUCACACCUUAAAAUCUUACACACUCAUAAUUAAAUCACUUGUACUAAAUUGAUGGCUUUCAUUUCAUCCUUCUUCAACUGUUUUGGCAUCUCUUCAAACUCAUCAUUACAAGUUUUUGAUUAUGAUAAAAAAUUAUCUCAAUCGAAAUCUUCAUCAUCAUCGGAGAAAUCAAAGAGCAAGGAAAACUUAAAGGGAGCUCCUUUGGUGGUUUAUCAUUUUCCUGUUAACUCUAAUCUCUCACUUUUGUAGUCAUGUCUUGUUAAGAAAUUUAUUUAUUUAUUUUGGUACUUGAUAUUCUUUUAUUUAUUUCUUCAUUGGUGGUUUAUCAUUUUCCUGUUAACUCUAAUCUCUCACUUUUGUAGUCAUGUCUUGUUAAGAAAUUUAUUUAUUUAUUUUGGUACUUGAUAUUCUUUUAUUUAUUUCUUCUUAUUUGUAUUAGAAAUUUUUAUAGGAUUUGUAUCAAUAAUUAAUAUUACUUUCUUGAUAUUACUUGAUGUGUUUUUAAUUUCACUUCAUUAAUAAUGUACUAUUACUAGAUUCUUUCUCCAAGAUACCUAAUCAAAAAAUUGUGUUAAAUAGAAAA